RNAcentral lists this long non-coding RNA (1151 nucleotides) under Heterocephalus glaber (naked mole-rat). Its description in RNAcentral is "lncRNA (ENSHGLG00100051051.1)". The record is from RNAcentral. Lineage: Eukaryota; Metazoa; Chordata; Mammalia; Rodentia; Bathyergidae.
GGGCUGACGCAUCGCCGGUGCCCAUCGCUCACGGAAAGCGAACUUGGCGCGCGCGCACACGCACACGCACACGCACACUGCCGCCCGCGCCACGCGCUCCCAACUUGUCCCACGCCCCGGGAGCAGCUCCAUCGUCUUUGAAGUGUUCGCCCUCAGAAACUCCACUCACUGAUGCACGCUUUGUCUGAUUUACUCACGCAGACUCUUUCGUGGGCCUCUGAAACAAGUCUCUGACUCUCUAGGGCACAAAAAAUGAAUGGAUCCAGGGAGCUCUCUGGAAUGCUUUAUUCCUCCAGAUCUGUCAUAAAUAAGAUGAAUGGACAGGAAACAGGAUCCCUUACAUGUUUCUGAACUUUUGGAAUAAUUCAUAUUGGAAACAUGAAGAAAAAGGGAUUGCGGGUGGAGAACUGUCUGGAAAACCAAGGACUCAACAAUAGAGCACCAAGCUUGUAGCUACUUCUCAUGAGGGAUGAACAAUCUUCUCUCUUCCAAAGGAGAGCAAGGAAAAAUUUAAAGAAAUAUUUAAUAUUAAUAAAAAAAGCUCAUUGAGUCUGAAAAAAAAAAAGAAGAGGGGGAGGAGCCAAGAGUAUGAAAAAUACAUAAAUAUGAUGGAUAUAUGUCAGUCAGUUGAGAAGACUUUUGAGAAGUGGUCUCUUUGUUAGCCUGUGAAAUUGCAGUGAUCACAUACACUUGCAGCUCCCUGGACUCUCACUCUCCCUCACUCACAGCAAGUGCUGGCCUUGGAGGAGAGAUGGAACAAAGGAGCGAGACCUGGAACCCCGGAAAGCACUGACUUUUAAAGAAAGAAAAGGAGACAGCCUGGGGGACAGCAGCAGUUUAAUUCCUCUGGCACUAUUCGACAAUCACAAAGGAAAGAAGCAAGGCUUUUAUACAGAUGGAGAACCAAUGUUCCCUUUCUACCUUUGCCUUUUCUAUCAUCUAUCCUGAGUUGGGAAGAAACAUCCUACCUGCACGAACAGUUACUUGUGGAUUGAAGAAAAAUUAAAGUAAAAUUUAUUUUCCUACCCCUCAAAUCUUGUUUUUUUUUUUUUUUGGUACUGGGGAUCGAACUUGGGUCCUUGCGCUUGCGCAACAGGCGGCAAAACCGCUGAGCUAAAUCCCCAGCCCUACCCCUCAAAUCUUAAUAGCAG